RNAcentral lists this unclassified non-coding RNA (221 nucleotides) under plant metagenome. RNAcentral's name for it is "partial contains small subunit ribosomal RNA, internal transcribed spacer 1, and 5.8S ribosomal RNA". The record is from RNAcentral.
CGUAGGUGAACCUGCGGAAGGAUCAUUAGUGAAUUGAAUAUGUUAGCGGACCUCUUCGGAGUCCCUAGCAUCAAAUCAUAUCCAUAACACCUGUGAACUGUAAGGCUGUCUUGAAAACGAAGGUGAUUAGAGCGCCUGCCCAUUUUAUACAAACAUUAAAGUAACAAACGUAGUCUUAUUAUAAUCUAAUAAAACUUUCAACAACGGAUCUCUUGGCUCUC